AGAGAGAGACUACAUGUCUGCAUGUGUGUUUUUUUAAGAAAAAUUCAUUGUUUCCCCGUGGAAAAUCAUUAUCCACGUGGAAUGCCAUAUAAACAGGUUGAUUGCCAAAUACUUGAAAUUUUUGACCGAGUGAUCUAUUUGACACAUUUUCAUCUUUGAGUAAUUAAAUUGAAACGUUUUGACUUUCGAUGUGUAAAUUGAAAGAAACACCAUCUGUCUGUGUGCAAAAAUGUAAUUUACCUGUUAAAAUCUCUUUAUAGAUAUUGUUGAUCGUGACUAAGAGUGCUUUGUUUUUGAUGGAUAUCAAGAACCACUUCCAGCUGUGCACGGCGAAUUAUCAUAUAUGGAUAUCAAAAGGAUCUUCUUUGAUCGUUCUUGCAAUGACCCAUAUCAUGGAUUUGACCUGUAAAGUUUACGAAGGUUAAGGGACUUUCCAGAUGGGACCAUUGUGCAGGCAAACAAAGUGGAGGAUGGGCAAAUUCUGGAUCACCUAAAAAUAUCAAAUUUGAUUCACCUGUACGGGUGUGUGGUAGAGGAAGAUCUGUAGCGACAUCGUCUUCGUAGCUUCAACACGGGUGUGCGGCAGGGGAAGAUUUUCAUUGGCAUCGUCUUCUGUUCUCGGGAUCAAUCUGUGUGGGUGUAGUCGGCUACGCGCAUUUGGCGGAGGUAUUUUUUGGUGUCGUCGUUUGUUGAGGUUAGUUUGAGUUUUAUUUCGUUGUAAUUACAAUGGACUUUGGUUGAAUUCUUCAGUUAUUUUUGAUGCAUUAUUCAUUUGAGUUUGGUGUAUUUUUUGGUUUGUUUUUCUUUUUCUGAUUCCUUAUGCAACAAAGAAGAAUGGCAUGGAGAUAUCUCUAUUGAUCGUCGCUUGCAUCUCUAACUUCGCCUGAAAAGUAGUCAUUUAAAAAGUGAAACUCCUCUUUUAGAAUCAAUUUGACCUUUUCUUUGGUCACUAAUUUGCUUUGAUGGCUGACUGGCAGCAAACAGACGAGGUUAACAGCUAUUUGCAAGGUAAGUGGUGUCCCUUCUCAAGAGAAUUGAAUUGGUUUAUACAUCACCUUUGUUAAGGUACGGCUUUUCCAGACCUUGCUAUAUUUGAAUAUGAUCUUUUGGAUUUUACACUUAUUGUUGUUUAAUUCUUGCAAUACAUGACUACCCUUGGAAGAACUUGGUUGGGAACCCACCCGAUGCCUCCAGAGUCUUUGGUCCUUCCUUUAGGCCUUAUAGUGCAUCCAGAUUGGUGAAUUUUUUCGUUUCUCUAAAGCAAAAAUCCUACAAAGUGGGCAAUAUUCAUUUGAGAACUGAAGAAAAUACUGUGUUUAGGUGGGUACUGAUUGAUAUUACAUCGAAGUUACAAAUGUUACGAAUAUUCUCCUGAAGGUCAAUGCAAAGGGGCCAACUAAGAAGGAGCAAAUUGAUGUUCAAGGAGACAUAAGCUAUGAUGUUGUGCCUUAAGUAAUUAAAUCUUCAUUUUCCUUUGUUUCUUAUCAGAAGUAUCAAAUAGUGUUUCUGAAUUUUGGUUUGUGUUACCUUCAAAACUUUUGCCCAAGUCCUUUUGAAGAGUUGAUCAAAUGUGGUCUGCAAUACAAGUCUCCGCUUUUAUUACAGUAGUUCUUAUUACUCUCAACAGUAUCUAAAUACAUGACAUUGAUGUUGAUUGUUCAAGAAAUCAACUUGAACAACACAGAUUGGAUCACUAUUUCA
Molecule: RNA transcript, 1701 nt
Organism: Tripterygium wilfordii
Lineage: Eukaryota; Viridiplantae; Streptophyta; Magnoliopsida; Celastrales; Celastraceae
Exons: 7
Source: RefSeq, a predicted model, not a curated record